Non-coding RNA from Arachis ipaensis, 207 nucleotides. NCBI's taxonomy places the organism in Eukaryota, Viridiplantae, Streptophyta, Magnoliopsida, Fabales, Fabaceae. The record is from RefSeq and is a predicted model, not a curated record.
UAGGUGCAUUGCUUUGGCGCGAUGCUGCUCCUUGAUUUUCGCUGCUGGCUUGUCUCGGGUUUCUGUUUCCACCCCUCCAGGUGGGUUCAUUGUCCACUAUCUCCCAAGAUUAUUCCCCGCUGCCAUCGCUGCCAGUUGGUGAGCUAAUUUGUUGCCAUCCCUUGGAGUCCAGGUAGCUCCCACAUCUGGAGCCUCUUCCAGCAGUUG